This 449-nucleotide ribosomal RNA is filed under the name uncultured bacterium. RNAcentral's name for it is "partial 16S ribosomal RNA". It matches the Rfam family "Bacterial small subunit ribosomal RNA", at positions 29 to 523 of the family's 1533-position model. The record is from RNAcentral.
AGCGAACGCUGGCGGCAGGCUUAACACAUGCAAGUCGAACGCAUCCUUCGGGGUGAGUGGCAGACGGGUGAGUAACACGUGGGAACGUGCCCUUCGGUUCGGAAUAACUCAUGGAAACGUGAGCUAAUACCGGAUACGCCCUUUUGGGGAAAGGUUUACUGCCGAAGGAUCGGCCCGCGUCUGAUUAGCUAGUUGGUGGGGUAAUGACCUACCAAGGCGACGAUCAGUAGCUGGUCUGAGAGGAUGAUCAGCCACACUGGGACUGAGACACGGCCCAGACUCCUACGGGAGGCAGCAGUGGGGAAUAUUGGACAAUGGGCGCAAGCCUGAUCCAGCCAUGCCGCGUGAGUGAUGAAGGCCUUAGGGUUGUAAAGCUCUUUUGUCCGGGACGAUAAUGACGGUACCGGAAGAAUAAGCCCCGGCUAACUUCGUGCCAGCCGCCGCCGUAA